AGGAGCUUCUGGGAGGCAAAGCGGAAGAUGAAGGAGUCGCGUUACGAUACGUUUCACUCGCUCUUGCAGAAAUCUUGAGAUACUAACGUUUUCUGCCUUACUCACAGCCUUAAAUACUUUGGUUUAUUGUUGUGGUUGCUUGCCCUUUGUUCUCUGGGAUGUUAAUGCUAUUUCUUCAGACGAACCAAACAGUUCUAGGGAACUUCCGCCACGUUCUUGCCUUCUUUGAGGGGACGCCUCCGUGAUUUACGUAGCCAGAUUGCGCUAUUUGACUCAAUUUGGCUGAAAGCCUUUAGACGUCUUUGUAUUCUUGGCGCCCGGAAACAAUUCCACUUACACUGUCCAUUAAGCACUUGUUGGAACAGUUUCAAUUUGAGAAAUUUUGCAAAAGAUUUUGGUUUUAACAGCAUGUGGUAAAGUCUCAAAUUUAUUUUCCAUACGUUUAACAUAGGUUUUUUUUUUUUUUUUUUUUUUUAAGUCUCUCAUAACUCUUGGCCAUUUAUUUUCCACUAACACAGAUUUUUUAAAAUUUUAAUCUCUCAAAACUCUUGGCCUAACUCUUGUUUGUUUCCUAGUUGUCCAAUGAUAAAUGUGGCUUCAACAAUGCCAGGGUAGACUCUGCAGUUUGCGAUCGUUGGACCUAUAUUUCUAGCUGAAACUCACACAACGUUGUACUCCAAUCAAAAUCAAAACAAAACAAAAUGAAAAAAACCAACCGUAUCCUGGCUGAUACCCAGAGCUGCCUUACUUGAGCAGUAGAGAGUGUGUAUUCUUCUAAGAAAGUCUCUCAGUCAUGUGCGGCUCUUUGUGACCCCAUGGACUGCAGCACACCAGGCUCCUCUGUCCAUGGGGAUUCUCCAAGCAAGAAUACUGGAGUUGCCAUGCCCUUCUCAAGAG
Molecule: long non-coding RNA, 897 nt
Organism: Cervus elaphus (red deer)
Lineage: Eukaryota; Metazoa; Chordata; Mammalia; Artiodactyla; Cervidae
Exons: 4
Source: RefSeq, a predicted model, not a curated record